AGAGUUUGAUCAUGGCUCAGAUUGAACGCUGGCGGCAGGCCUAACACAUGCAAGUCGAACGGUAACAGGAAGCAGCUUGCUGCUUCGCUGACGAGUGGCGGACGGGUGAGUAAUGUCUGGGAAACUGCCUGAUGGAGGGGGAUAACUACUGGAAACGGUGGCUAAUACCGCAUAACGUCGCAAGACCAAAGAGGGGGACCUUCGGGCCUCUUGCCAUCAGAUGUGCCCAGAUGGGAUUAGCUAGUUGGUGAGGUAACGGCUCACCAAGGCGACGAUCCCUAGCUGGUCUGAGAGGAUGACCAGCCACACUGGAACUGAGACACGGUCCAGACUCCUACGGGAGGCAGCAGUGGGGAAUAUUGCACAAUGGGCGCAAGCCUGAUGCAGCCAUGCCGCGUGUAUGAAGAAGGCCUUCGGGUUGUAAAGUACUUUCAGCGGGGAGGAAGGUGUUGUGGUUAAUAACCGCAGCAAUUGACGUUACCCGCAGAAGAAGCACCGGCUAACUCCGUGCCAGCAGCCGCGGUAAUACGGAGGGUGCAAGCGUUAAUCGGAAUUACUGGGCGUAAAGCGCACGCAGGCGGUCUGUCAAGUCGGAUGUGAAAUCCCCGGGCUCAACCUGGGAACUGCAUUCGAAACUGGCAGGCUUGAGUCUUGUAGAGGGGGGUAGAAUUCCAGGUGUAGCGGUGAAAUGCGUAGAGAUCUGGAGGAAUACCGGUGGCGAAGGCGGCCCCCUGGACAAAGACUGACGCUCAGGUGCGAAAGCGUGGGGAGCAAACAGGAUUAGAUACCCUGGUAGUCCACGCCGUAAACGAUGUCUACUUGGAGGUUGUGCCCUUGAGGCGUGGCUUCCGGAGCUAACGCGUUAAGUAGACCGCCUGGGGAGUACGGCCGCAAGGUUAAAACUCAAAUGAAUUGACGGGGGCCCGCACAAGCGGUGGAGCAUGUGGUUUAAUUCGAUGCAACGCGAAGAACCUUACCUGGUCUUGACAUCCACGGAAGUUUUCAGAGAUGGAAUGGUGCCUUCGGGAACCGUGAGACAGGUGCUGCAUGGCUGUCGUCAGCUCGUGUUGUGAAAUGUUGGGUUAAGUCCCGCAACGAGCGCAACCCUUAUCCUUUGUUGCCAGCGGUUAGGCCGGGAACUCAAAGGAGACUGCCAGUGAUAAACUGGAGGAAGGUGGGGAUGACGUCAAGUCAUCAUGGCCCUUACGACCAGGGCUACACACGUGCUACAAUGGCGCAUACAAAGAGAAGCGACCUCGCGAGAGCAAGCGGACCUCAUAAAGUGCGUCGUAGUCCGGAUUGGAGUCUGCAACUCGACUCCAUGAAGUCGGAAUCGCUAGUAAUCGUGGAUCAGAAUGCCACGGUGAAUACGUUCCCGGGCCUUGUACACACCGCCCGUCACACCAUGGGAGUGGGUUGCAAAAGAAGUAGGUAGCUUAACCUUCGGGAGGGCGCUUACCACUUUGUGAUUCAUGACUGGGGUGAAGUCGUAACAAGGUAACCGUAGGGGAACCUGCGGUUG
Molecule: ribosomal RNA, 1522 nt
Filed under: Salmonella enterica subsp. enterica serovar Bovismorbificans
Lineage: Bacteria; Pseudomonadati; Pseudomonadota; Gammaproteobacteria; Enterobacterales; Enterobacteriaceae
Also listed under: 1 other name
Description: bacterial SSU rRNA
Rfam family: Bacterial small subunit ribosomal RNA
Source: RNAcentral